Molecule: ribosomal RNA, 563 nt
Filed under: uncultured Acidimicrobiales bacterium
Lineage: Bacteria; Bacillati; Actinomycetota; Acidimicrobiia; Acidimicrobiales
Description: bacterial SSU rRNA
Rfam family: Bacterial small subunit ribosomal RNA
Source: RNAcentral
UACGGGAGGCAGCAGCAGGGAAUAUUGUGCAAUGAGCGAAAGCUUGACACAGCGACACCGCGUGUGGGAUGACGGUUCUAGGAUUGUAAACCACUUUCAGGAGGGAAGAAAAUGACGGUACCUCCACAAGAAGACCCGGCCAACUAUGUGCCAGCAGCCGCGGUAAUACAUAGGGGUCAAGCGUUGUCCGGAUUUAUUGGGCGUAAAGAGCUCGUAGGCGGUUCAACAAGUCGGUCGUAAAAGUUUAGGGCUCAACCCUAAAAUGUCGAUCGAUACUGUUGUGACUAGGAUACGGUAGAGGUGAAUGGAAUUCCGAGUGUAGCGGUGAAAUGCGUAGAUAUUCGGAGGAACACCAAUUGCGAAGGCAGUUCACUGGACCGUGAUCGACGCUGAGGAGCGAAAGCUAGGGGAGCAAACAGGAUUAGAUACCCUGGUAGUCCUAGCUGUAAACGAUGGAUACUAGAUGUAGGAACUGGAUUGACGGUUUCUGUAUCGUAGCUAACGCGUUAAGUAUCCCGCCUGGGGAGUACGGUCGCAAGACUAAAACUCAAAGGAAUUGACGG